RNAcentral lists this ribosomal RNA (253 nucleotides) under uncultured bacterium. RNAcentral's name for it is "partial 16S ribosomal RNA". It matches the Rfam family "Bacterial small subunit ribosomal RNA", at positions 524 to 776 of the family's 1533-position model. The record is from RNAcentral.
UACGGAGGGUGCAAGCGUUAUCCGGAUUCACUGGGUUUAAAGGGCGCGUAGGCGGGUUUGUAAGUCAGUGGUGAAAUCUCCGAGCUUAACUUGGAAACUGCCAUUGAUACUAUAGAUCUUGAAUUUUCUGGAGGUAAGCGGAAUAUGUCAUGUAGCGGUGAAAUGCUUAGAUAUGACAUAGAACACCAAUUGCGAAGGCAGCUUUCUGCAGGAAUAUUGACACUGAGGCACGAAAGCGUGGGGAUCAAACAGG